Molecule: long non-coding RNA, 262 nt
Organism: Nothoprocta perdicaria
Lineage: Eukaryota; Metazoa; Chordata; Aves; Tinamiformes; Tinamidae
Exons: 3
Source: RefSeq, a predicted model, not a curated record
CAAUAAGGAGAUGCUUCUGUAUAUGUAACUCCAGCCUGGAAAAGAAAUYGUUUAGGACAUCUUAUUCCUUAUCUCAAAAGGACAGAGGUCUGUAAAAUCAUCUGAACUGUAUUCUCUUGUUCCACAUUGUUUGGAGUCUCUAGUUGUCCAUCUGAAGAAUGAAUGAUGAAAGCUGAAGCAAUUAAAUUUCACCACACUUAUUGAGAAGAACSAAAAAUGCAUUGCUACCACGUUGGACUUGUCAGGAGAGAAUCACUGGAUU